AUCCGGCUGACGAGUCCCAAGUAGGACGAAACGUGUAUCUUGGAU
Schistosoma haematobium is the source of this 45-nucleotide non-coding RNA. The record is from Rfam. Lineage: Eukaryota; Metazoa; Platyhelminthes; Trematoda; Strigeidida; Schistosomatidae.